Molecule: ribosomal RNA, 495 nt
Filed under: uncultured bacterium
Lineage: Bacteria
Description: partial 16S ribosomal RNA
Rfam family: Bacterial small subunit ribosomal RNA
Source: RNAcentral
GAUGAACGCUGGCGGCGUGCCUAAUACAUGCAAGUAGAACGCUGAAGGAGGAGCUUGCUCUUCUGGAUGAGUUGCGAACGGGUGAGUAACGCGUAGGUAACCUGCCUGGUAGCGGGGGAUAACUAUUGGAAACGAUAGCUAAUACCGCAUGACAACAGUUAUUGCAUGAUAACUGUUUAAAAGGGGCAACUGCUCCACUACCAGAUGGACCUGCGUUGUAUUAGCUAGUUGGUGAGGUAACGGCUCACCAAGGCGACGAUACAUAGCCGACCGGAGAGGGGGAGCGGCCACACUGGGACUGAGACACGGCCCAGACUCCUACGGGAGGCCGCAGUAGGGAAUCUUCGGCAAUGGACGGAAGUCUGACCGAGCAACGCCGCGUGAGUGAAGAAGGUUUUCGGAUCGUAAAGCUCUGUUGUAAGAGAAGAACGAGUGUGAGAGUGGAAAGUUCACACUGUGACGGUAUCUUACCAGAAAGGGACGGCUAACUACGUG